CCUACGGGGGGCAGCAGUGGGGAAUAUUGGACAGUGGGCGAAAGCCUGAUCCAGCAAUUCCGCGUGUGUGAAGAAGGCCUUCGGGUUGUAAAGCACUUUAGUGGGGGAAGAAACAGCUUGGCCACACCAAGCCUUGACGGUACCCCAAGAAUAAGCACCGGCUAACUCUGUGCCAGCAGCCGCGGUAAU
RNAcentral lists this ribosomal RNA (189 nucleotides) under uncultured bacterium. RNAcentral describes it as "partial 16S ribosomal RNA". It matches the Rfam family "Bacterial small subunit ribosomal RNA", at positions 338 to 524 of the family's 1533-position model. The record is from RNAcentral.